Long non-coding RNA from Haliotis rubra (blacklip abalone), 251 nucleotides. RefSeq lists it as uncharacterized. The transcript is spliced from 3 exons. Lineage: Eukaryota; Metazoa; Mollusca; Gastropoda; Lepetellida; Haliotidae. The record is from RefSeq and is a predicted model, not a curated record.
AGCCCAGGUAGUGAUGAUUGUCUUUAUGAUCAAUGGCAGUCUGUGGUUCGGUCAGACCAAUCUGUGCAUGACUGCCUGCAGCCCAGGUAGUGAUGAUUGUCUUUAUGAUCAAUGGCAGUCUGUGGUUCGGUCAGACCAAUCUGUGUGUGACUGCCUGCAGCCCAGGUAGUGAUGAUUGUCUUUAUGAUCAAUGGCAGUCUGUGGUUCGGUCAGACCAAUCUGUGUGUGACUGCCUGCAGCCCAGGUAGUGA